AUGGUGCUCUUCCUCACUGAGACUACAAUUGGAGCAGGCACACUGCCCACAAGCUCUCAAACACUUCCUCAGCUCCCACACUUUUCAGUUACCCCUGCCGCCCCAGAUGAGUUCCCUUUGGGCCGCGGCGCCCUGUGCUCUGCAACGCUGCGGCGGGCAGCUUGGGAUAACGCAGCCGCGCGCAGAGAUCGCCUCCGCAGGAUGAGGGAGUGGUGGGUCCAGGUGGGUCCGGGUGGGGCUGUGGGCAGUGCUUCUGCUUGCUGCGCAUCCGCACAUCCGGCGCCCUCAGCUCUCACACGAUCUUCACUCCUGGAAGUCUUCAGACUCUGUGGGUGUGGAUGGAAGUCAGGAGAUAGUUGUGGUUUUACACGUUUUCCAACAUCCAGCUACGAUUGGUACAAUAUUUGGGAAGGUCUGCCCUUGAGGUUUCAUCGAGUGAUUGCCCUUGAUUUCUUAGGCGUUGGCUUCAGUGACAAACCGAGACCACAUCACUAGUCCAUAUUUGAGCAGGUCAGCAUCGUGGAAGCGCUUUUGCGGCAUCUGGGGCUCCAGAACCUCAGGAUCAAGUCUCAUGACUGUGGAGAUAAUUGUUGCUCAGGACCUUCUCUUCAGGUACAAGCAGAAUCGAUCUGGUCGGCUUACCAUAAAGAGUCUCUGUCUGUCAAAUGGAGGUAUCUUCCCUGAGACUCACCGUCCUCUCCUUCUCCAAAUGCUACCCAAAGAUGGAGGUGUGCUAUCACCCAUCCUCACACAACUGAUGAACUUCUUUGUAUUCUCUCGAGGUCUCACCACAGUCUUUGGGCUGUAUACUUGGCCCUCUGAGAGUGAGCUGUGGGACAUGUGGGCAGAGAUCCCCAACAAUGACGGGAACUUAGCCAUUGAUGGUCUCUUACAGUACAUCAAUCAGAGGAAGAAGUUCAGAAGGCGCUGGGUGGGAGCUCUUGCCUCUGUAACUAUCCCUAUUCAUUUUAUCUAUGGGCCAUUGGAUCCUGUAAAUCUCUAUCCAGAGUUUUUGGAGCUGUACGGGAAAACGCUGCUGUGAUCCACAGUGUCGAUUCUGGAUGACCACCACAUAAGCCACUAUCCACAGCUAGAUGAUGCCAUUGGCUCCUUGAAUGCAUAUAUGGGCUUCAUCACCUCCUUCUGA
Molecule: RNA transcript, 1147 nt
Organism: Mandrillus leucophaeus (drill)
Lineage: Eukaryota; Metazoa; Chordata; Mammalia; Primates; Cercopithecidae
Gene name: mesoderm-specific transcript homolog protein-like
Exons: 3
Source: RefSeq, a predicted model, not a curated record